GACGAACGCUGGCGGCGUGCUUAACACAUGCAAGUCGAACGGAAAGGCCCUGCUUUUGUGGGGUGCUCGAGUGGCGAACGGGUGAGUAACACGUGAGUAACCUGCCCUUGACUUUGGGAUAACUUCAGGAAACUGGGACUAAUACCGGAUAGGAGCUCCUGCUGCAUGGUGGGGGUUGGAAAGUUUCGGCGGUUGGGGAUGGACUCGCGGCUUAUCAGCUUGUUGGUGGGGUAGUGGCUUACCAAGGCUUUGACGGGUAGCCGGCCUGAGAGGGUGACCGGCCACAUUGGGACUGAGAUACGGCCCAGACUCCUACGGGAGGCAGCAGUGGGGAAUAUUGCACAAUGGGCGGAAGCCUGAUGCAGCAACGCCGCGUGCGGGAUGACGGCCUUCGGGUUGUAAACCGCUUUCGCCUGUGGCGAAGCGUGAGUGACGGUAAUGGGUAAAGAAGCACCGGCUAACUACGUG
This 468-nucleotide ribosomal RNA is filed under the name uncultured bacterium. Its description in RNAcentral is "partial 16S ribosomal RNA". It matches the Rfam family "Bacterial small subunit ribosomal RNA", at positions 28 to 507 of the family's 1533-position model. The record is from RNAcentral.